GACGAACGCUGGCGGCGUGCUUAACACAUGCAAGUCGAACGGAAAGGCCCUGCUUUUGUGGGGUUCUCGAGUGGCGAACGGGUGAGUAACACGUGAGUAACCUGCCCUUGACUUUGGGAUAACUUCAGGAAACUGGGGCUAAUACCGGAUAGGAGCUCCUGCUGCAUGGUGGGGGUUGGAAAGUUUCGGCGGUUGGGGAUGUACUCGCUGCUUAUCAGCUUGUUUGUGGGGUAGUGGCUUACCAAGGCUUUGACGGGUAGCCGGCAUGAGAGGGUUACCGGCCACAUUGGGACUGAGAUACGGACCAGACUCCUACGGGAGGCAGCAGUGGGGAAUAUUGCACAAUGGGCGGAAGCCUGAUGCAGCAACGCCGCGUGCGGGAUGACGGCCUUCGGGUUGUAAACCGAUUUCGCCGGUGACGAAGCGUGAGUGACGGUAAUGGGUAAAGAAGCACCGGCUAACUACGUG
RNAcentral lists this ribosomal RNA (468 nucleotides) under uncultured bacterium. Its description in RNAcentral is "partial 16S ribosomal RNA". It matches the Rfam family "Bacterial small subunit ribosomal RNA", at positions 28 to 507 of the family's 1533-position model. The record is from RNAcentral.